UACGAAGGGGGCUAGCGUUGCUCGGAAUCACUGGGCGUAAAGGGCGCGUAGGCGGCCGAUUAAGUCGGGGGUGAAAGCCUGUGGCUCAACCACAGAAUUGCCUUCGAUACUGGUUGGCUUGAGACCGGAAGAGGACAGCGGAACUGCGAGUGUAGAGGUGAAAUUCGUAGAUAUUCGCAAGAACACCAGUGGCGAAGGCGGCUCACUGGCCCGAUACUGACGCUGAGGCACGAAAGCGUGGG
This 242-nucleotide ribosomal RNA is filed under the name uncultured bacterium. RNAcentral's name for it is "partial 16S ribosomal RNA". It matches the Rfam family "Bacterial small subunit ribosomal RNA", at positions 524 to 765 of the family's 1533-position model. The record is from RNAcentral.